This 103-nucleotide non-coding RNA is filed under the name Clostridium mediterraneense. RNAcentral describes it as "SAM riboswitch (S box leader)". It matches the Rfam family "SAM riboswitch aptamer (S box leader)". From Rfam's summary of the family: The SAM riboswitch is found upstream of a number of genes which code for proteins involved in methionine or cysteine biosynthesis in Gram-positive bacteria. The SAM riboswitch acts at the level of transcription termination control. Lineage: Bacteria; Bacillati; Bacillota; Clostridia; Eubacteriales; Clostridiaceae. The record is from RNAcentral.
UCUUAUCCAGAGAGGUGGAGGGACAGGGCCCUAUGAAACCCGGCAACCAGUUAUAUAAGACCACGGUGCCAAUUCCUGCAAAGUAUAUCUUUGCGAGAUAAGA